UAGAGUGAGGUGUACUGGAGGCACGAAGAGUUUUGAUCUCUUAUGUACGGGUUCAAGUCCUGUUUCUCUAA
RNAcentral lists this transfer RNA (71 nucleotides) under Uraeotyphlus gansi (Gansi caecilian). RNAcentral's name for it is "tRNA-Gln". It matches the Rfam family "tRNA". Rfam says of the family: Transfer RNA (tRNA) molecules are approximately 80 nucleotides in length. Their secondary structure includes four short double-helical elements and three loops (D, anti-codon, and T loops). Further hydrogen bonds mediate the characteristic L-shaped molecular structure. tRNAs have two regions of fundamental functional importance: the anti-codon, which is responsible for specific mRNA codon recognition, and the 3' end, to which the tRNAs corresponding amino acid is attached (by aminoacyl-tRNA synthetases). tRNAs cope with the degeneracy of the genetic code in two manners: having more than one tRNA (with a specific anti-codon) for a particular amino acid; and 'wobble' base-pairing, i.e. permitting non-standard base-pairing at the 3rd anti-codon position. Lineage: Eukaryota; Metazoa; Chordata; Amphibia; Gymnophiona; Ichthyophiidae. The record is from RNAcentral.